This 71-nucleotide transfer RNA is filed under the name Loxodonta africana (African savanna elephant). It matches the Rfam family "tRNA". Rfam says of the family: Transfer RNA (tRNA) molecules are approximately 80 nucleotides in length. Their secondary structure includes four short double-helical elements and three loops (D, anti-codon, and T loops). The record is from Rfam by way of RNAcentral. Lineage: Eukaryota; Metazoa; Chordata; Mammalia; Proboscidea; Elephantidae.
GCAUUGGUGGUUCAGUGGUAGAAUUGUUGCCUUCCACACAGGAGACCCGGGUUCAAUUCCCGGCCAGUGCA